GAGGGUAUAGCUCAAUACUAAAGUGCAUGCUUAGCAUGCACGAAGUCCUGGGUUCAAACUCCAGUAACUCCA
RNAcentral lists this transfer RNA (72 nucleotides) under Camelus bactrianus (Bactrian camel). It matches the Rfam family "tRNA". From Rfam's summary of the family: Transfer RNA (tRNA) molecules are approximately 80 nucleotides in length. Their secondary structure includes four short double-helical elements and three loops (D, anti-codon, and T loops). Further hydrogen bonds mediate the characteristic L-shaped molecular structure. tRNAs have two regions of fundamental functional importance: the anti-codon, which is responsible for specific mRNA codon recognition, and the 3' end, to which the tRNAs corresponding amino acid is attached (by aminoacyl-tRNA synthetases). tRNAs cope with the degeneracy of the genetic code in two manners: having more than one tRNA (with a specific anti-codon) for a particular amino acid; and 'wobble' base-pairing, i.e. permitting non-standard base-pairing at the 3rd anti-codon position. RNAcentral also lists the same sequence under 1 other name. Lineage: Eukaryota; Metazoa; Chordata; Mammalia; Artiodactyla; Camelidae. The record is from Rfam by way of RNAcentral.